RNAcentral lists this ribosomal RNA (497 nucleotides) under uncultured bacterium. RNAcentral's name for it is "partial 16S ribosomal RNA". It matches the Rfam family "Bacterial small subunit ribosomal RNA", at positions 29 to 523 of the family's 1533-position model. The record is from RNAcentral.
AGUGAACGCUGGCGGCGUGCCUAAUACAUGCAAGUCGAACGCGAAAGUCCUUCGGGAUGAGUAAAGUGGCGCACGGGUGAGUAAUACAUGGGAACAUGCCCUUGGAUGGGGAAUAACGGUUGGAAACGAACGCUAAUACCGCAUAAUCUCGCGAGAGUAAAGGUGGCGCCGCAAGGGCUACCGUCCAAGGAUUGGCCCAUGUCCCAUUAGCUAGUUGGCGGGGUAAUGGCCCACCAAGGCAACGAUGGGUAACUGGUCUGAGAGGAUGGUCAGUCACACUGGAACUGAGACACGGUCCAGACUCCUACGGGAGGCAGCAGUAGGGAAUAUUGCACAAUGGGGGAAACCCUGACGCAGCAACGCCGCGUGAGUGAAGAAGGCCCUUGGGUUGUAAAGCUCUUUAGCGUGGGAAGAAGGUAGAUAUGGUGAACAAUCAUGUUUGCUGACGGUACCACGAGAAUAAGCACCGGCUAAUUUCCUGCCAGCCGCCGCCGUAA